CAGUCGAGCGGACCGACGGGAGCUUGCUCCCUUAGGUUAGCGGCGGACGGGUGAGUAACACGUGGGUAACCUGCCUGUAAGACUGGGAUAACUCCGGGAAACCGGGGCUAAUACCGGAUGCUUGAUUGAACCGCAUGGUUCAAUCAUAAAAGGCGGCUUCGGCUGCCGUUUACAGAUGGACCCGCGGCGCAUUAGCUAGUUGGUGAGGUAACGGCUCACCAAGGCGACGAUGCGUAGCCGACCUGAGAGGGUGAUCGGCCACACUGGGACUGAGACACGGCCCAGACUCCUACGGGAGGCAGCAGUAGGGAAUCUUCCGCAAUGGACGAAAGUCUGACGGAGCAACGCCGCGUGAGUGAUGAAGGUUUUCGGAUCGUAAAGCUCUGUUGUUAGGGAAGAACAAGUACCGUUCGAAUAGGGCGGUACCUUGACGGUACCUAACCAGAAAGCCACGGCUAACUACGUGCCAGCAGCCGCGGUAAUACGUAGGUGGCAAGCGUUGUCCGGAAUUAUUGGGCGUAAAGCGCGCGCAGGCGGUUUCUUAAGUCUGAUGUGAAAGCCCCCGGCUCAACCGGGGAGGGUCAUUGGAAACUGGGGAACUUGAGUGCAGAAGAGGAGAG
Molecule: ribosomal RNA, 620 nt
Filed under: Bacillus sp. FJAT-4410
Lineage: Bacteria; Bacillati; Bacillota; Bacilli; Caryophanales; Bacillaceae
Description: bacterial SSU rRNA
Rfam family: Bacterial small subunit ribosomal RNA
Source: RNAcentral